Molecule: long non-coding RNA, 214 nt
Filed under: Lathyrus oleraceus (garden pea)
Lineage: Eukaryota; Viridiplantae; Streptophyta; Magnoliopsida; Fabales; Fabaceae
Description: Pisum sativum (pea) long non-coding RNA (PSAT_LNC040351)
Source: RNAcentral
UGAGAUUUAAUUCAAACGUAUUUCAGAAGAUACAAAAUACGUUCAAAAAUACAUUUCCAAAAGUAUAUAACAUUUUUAAAUUUUCAUAGAAUAUGUUUCUCAAUCUAGUUAUUUCCCCACUUCUCCAUAAUGUCAUCUUCAAGUGCCAACUCAUUAUCUAUAUCCACAAAGAAUAUCUAAGUAGUAAAAAAGAAAACAAAUGAAAGCAAAUUUC